CUGAUACCCAACUCUUGUGCAACUCAUG
This 28-nucleotide non-coding RNA is filed under the name Homo sapiens (human). The record is from RNAcentral. Lineage: Eukaryota; Metazoa; Chordata; Mammalia; Primates; Hominidae.